Molecule: ribosomal RNA, 143 nt
Filed under: Pseudoalteromonas piscicida
Lineage: Bacteria; Pseudomonadati; Pseudomonadota; Gammaproteobacteria; Alteromonadales; Pseudoalteromonadaceae
Description: partial 16S ribosomal RNA
Rfam family: Bacterial small subunit ribosomal RNA
Source: RNAcentral
UUUAAUUGAAGAGUUUGAUCAUGGCUCAGAUUGAACGCUGGCGGCAGGCCUAACACAUGCAAGUCGAGCGGUAACAUUUCUAGCUUGCUAGAAGAUGACGAGCGGCGGACGGGUGAGUAAUGCUUGGGAACAUGCCUUGAGGU